RNAcentral lists this transfer RNA (86 nucleotides) under Sphaerodactylus townsendi. RNAcentral's name for it is "tRNA-Ile". Lineage: Eukaryota; Metazoa; Chordata; Lepidosauria; Squamata; Sphaerodactylidae. The record is from RNAcentral.
GGGGGCGUGGCUCAGUGGGUGGAGCAUCUGCUUGAUAUGCAGAAGGUUUAAGCCCCAGCUGUUGGAUUCAAAAUCUGGGUCCCUCA